This 461-nucleotide long non-coding RNA is filed under the name Brassica napus (rape). RNAcentral describes it as "long non-coding RNA (BNAP_LNC001343)". The record is from RNAcentral. Lineage: Eukaryota; Viridiplantae; Streptophyta; Magnoliopsida; Brassicales; Brassicaceae.
AGACCAGAUCCAAGCUCACAAAUUUCUAAAGCUAGUGUGUGCACUCUGUGCAGUGACGUAGCCAGCUUAGUCGGAAUGGGGGCACAUGCACCCAUAGUUUUAUGAAUAUGUAAGCUUUUGUGAAUAGAACCAUUAAGAUUUUAUUGGAUGUGAUGGUAAAUGUUGUGUUGGGCACCCAUAACUUUCUUAAUCUCGAUUCUCUCCUGUGUCAUUUUCUUGUUUUGUAACAAACGUCCCCCAUGAAAUUUUGUUCUAGAUUCGCUCCUGAGUGUGUGAGAAGAUAUCUGCCACAGCAAAGAUGAACGUUGGAUGGCAUGCAGCCUGUAUAACACUAUACUGGACGAUGAAGUGUAAAUGGAAGAGCCAAACUAGCAAUCCGAGAUCCCUGUUUACUAUUUGCAAGCUGGAUAUAAAAAGACAAAACCAAAUCAUGAUUUAUGCGAUUUUGGUUUGGUUUAAAC